GUUGCAGUGGGCCGAGAUUGUGCCAUUGCACUCCAACCUGGGUGACAAGAGAGAAAUUCUGUCUUAAAAAAAAAAAAUGUGAAUCUAUGAGGAAGAAUAAUAGUGUUCUCCCACCACCAUUAACUGUAGUGCUUUGAAAAGAAGACCAAAAUCACAUUUAUUACAUAACAUUCUACCUUUUAGCUGACAUCAUCAUCAUUAUUAUCAUCAUCUACAUUUACAUCUAUCUUAUUAAAUGAUUUAUUUCUGAAAUAUUUACACACAUAAUUUGGGUAAAGUCUAUGUAAUUUCUAAGAGACAUCAUUGUAAGAAAGUUAUAUUAGUAAACAAUAAAGUCCAAGUCAGGCCGAAUACAUUUAGAUUUAGAAAGUUAAGUGUAGUGUAGUUUAAAAUACAUUGCUUAAGGAAACAGUUACAGAUUAUAUUAAACUAAUCCAAGUAACAUUACAAAAAGAUUAUUAUUUUAGUAUAAAUAAAAUUGCUUAAUAUGAAAAAUAAAUAAACCAUUUCACAAUCAAGCUCUUAUUUAUAAAGAGAGGAUUUUAGGGCUAAAUAAAUCAAAGAGAAGUAAUCCCUCCCCCACAUCUUCUCUAUUUCAUUAGGUAAUGAUGGAGUUCAAAGGCAGAGAGCCCCAUUUCUACAACAUAAGCAAAGUGAAAAUUAAUUCACUGACUACAACAAUGUAGCUGUGGUUGGUGAAAUAUAUUUUAUCUAUUGCAAUUAUAUUUUGAGAUUGAGUGCUGCUCAUUGAGUUUGCCUGUGAGCAGAAUUUGUGGUGAGGACCCAGCAACAGACAAGCUAGUAUCCAAAAAAAGCUACUCACAUCAACUUAAUUUCCAAUUUCUUUCAAAUUGAAGGUAAAUUCCAGAACAACAUUUCUAUUCUAUUCUCUGACCAAAGUGUUGGGAAACAAAGACAAUUGUUACCAUUUUCAUUUCUAACAUACUAAAACAAAACACAAAAAACCCCAAAAGUCAAAAGCACUUUUAAAAAGAACAUGCUGUUAACAGUAGUUUGUUCAGUUUCCCCAUAGAAAAUGAUUUAUGGAAGGAGAAUAAAAGAUUAUUCCGAACACUAAAAGAAUAAGACUGAAAAAAAUGAAUUAUCAAUAUUGAGAAUCCAAUAGACAGAGUUAACCAGUUAGAUGCAGUAGAAGAGAUAAUAAGUGAAUUGGAAGAUAGCUACAAAGAAUGAAGCACAGAGAGUGAAAUGGCAAUAUACAAAGCUAGAGGGUAACACAUUGAUGCUACAGUCAGAACACCUAACAUACUUCUGGAGUUCUGUAAGAUAACAGGAGAGAAAAUAGAGCAAGAGAAAUGUUGCAAGGAUUUUUCUAAAAGUGAUAAAAUGUAUGCCUCCAUUUAUUUUUUGUAAUCUCAAAUGUCAGGCUUGAUAACUAAAAUCAAGGUAACAAAAAAUAAUACAGGACAGCAAAGACCAAUAGAAAAUCUGAAAAGUAGCUAGAGGUAGAAGAUAAUGUUGAAAAGAACUGCAUUCUAAAUACAACCUGAUUUUAACAGAAAAUAUGGAAGCAGGAAUUCAAUGGAAUCAUGGGAAUCGUGUCUUCAGUGUAUUUCCAAAGAAUAGUAGACCUUCAAAAACAGAAUUUGAAAGUAAUAUUUGUCAGAUAAAAUAAAAUUACUGAAAAUACAAAGUUAAACAGGCAAGGAGCAAUAAAAAUUAAUGACAAUGAAAAAUGUGUAAUUCUAAAUAAAUAUUGACUGAGUAAAACAAUACUGUCUUCUUGGAUUGAAUGUAUAAUUGAUAAGAUAUAUGCAAAUAGGAAUAAGGAGACUGGAGAUAAAAGUGACAGGAAUAAAUUUAGUCAAACUAUGUUUUGGGCUUUUUUAUGUCUGUAAGGAGAAUGUGAACAUCAUAAUCAAGGACCCUGUAAUUGCACACCCAGGUAUAUUAUAUGCAAAAGAAUUGUAGCAAAUGAUAUGUGAAAGAAUGCUCACUGUAGCAUUAUUCAUAAUAGCUCAGAAAUAAGCUGCCCAAAUAUAUAUCAAAUAAGGAUGGAUAAAUAAUUACAGUAAAAUCAUAAAAUGAAAAAUUAUACAGAAGCAAAAAGAAAUGGAUCACAUGUACAUGCAACUAUGGAGUUAAAUUUCAGAUACAUAAUAUUGAUUCCAGGAAGCCAUGAAUAAGAACAUAUAGGAUAGCACCUACACACAGUUCAAAGCAGGACAAACCGAGCUAUUGAGUUUAGGGUCAUAUUCCUUGUUAGUAAAGUAUAAAGAAAAUUUUAAAAAGAUCAUCAUAAAUUAUGGAUGUUGCUUAUCACAGGAGAUGUGAAGAAAGGUGUAGGGACUUGGAAAGUGGCAUUGAGGUAAACUUAGGCUCUUAGCAAUGUUCCAUGUUUAGCCCUACAUGAUGGUUACAUGAGUGUUUAUGACACAUUGCUAUGUUUUCCUUUUGGCUAAUUUCUAAGUGUGCAGUCUAGUUAUAAUAUAAAAAUUAAUUAGAAGAAAUGUUCCAUGAAAAUUAUUAUUACUCUGCUCAUUAUACACUGAAGGAAAAAAUUCACUAUUUGUAUACAUUUAUGUAUAACGCUAAGAAAUUUUAAGUAGAAACUUUCUGAUUUUAGUUACAACUUUCUGAAAGUUGACAUGAUGUUACCUGCCAACCGCAGAUUUUUCAAUAGGCUUUUCUUUUAGGCUUAAUUAUCCACUUCAUGUGACAAAACUUUGACAUUCUCAGUCUGUUUUUCCCUUGAAUCCCGAAUUCCUGACACAACAAGUGUGGACAUGUUUCCCACACUCUUGGUUUAGCAGAAUGCCUAUAUCAGUUACGUUUUUCUGCAAGAGAAAAUCCUCCAAAACUGCUUUAGAUGUUUGUACCUCACACGUCUUCGGAUUUCAUUUUUCUAAGCUAGGUUUGGUGGAUGGCUCUGGUUACUGGAGAUGGGUCAUGGACUGCAUCAUGAAGCUAGUUCAGCUGAUUUAGGCUAGAAAAGGCAGUGGCAUUCUGACUCCAUUAGUUUCUCAUUCUUCUUCUGGGAACAGUGUACUAGCCAAAUGAUGUCCUAAUGGUAAACGGAAAAGAGUGAGAAACUUCAGUAUGGAAGCCGUCUUAAAUCUCUGUGUAAAGUCUACUAAUUUCCUGAUGACUAAAGCAAAUUACAGGAGGGAAUGCGGAGUCCAAGGUCAAGGUAGUCACCCUGCCUGUGGUGGGAGGGUAGUGCAAGGUUAUAUGACAAAGUGUAGGGUACUUUGAAAUAUUUACAAAAUUACUGAACAUUUUAAUUAAAUAAUUAAUAUUUAAACAAAACAGAGUUGAGUGUAAUUAUACCAAAGACCUAAGCAUGAGAAAUAUGCUUGAUAAAUAUUAUUCAUUGUCUGACAGCCAUGAGUGGGAAAAUAGGACUAAUUCCACCUGGAUGACCUCCUAGAAACUUGUUUUCCGUUUGGGGAAUUAUAAGAAAAUAAUUCUUUCCAUCCCCUAAGGGUGUGAGUGUAUGUGCGUCUAUAUGUUUAUGAGUUUAUUAAUAAUGGUGUCAUAUAAAUUUAUUGGUUAUCAGAAACCAGAUUUUAAGUUGUAUUGGCCUCCCAGGGCUUUCCAAGAUAACCUUAGAUGAUUUUGAUAAAAGGUUUAGAAUCUGGUAUUUAAGUCUGGCAUAAAAAUAAAUCCAUAUUGGUAUGAUCCUAGUUAUGACCAAGCUCCUUUAAUGAUUUAGACAUUUACUGUAUGAUAUAUGUAUGUGGUUUUAAAAUUUCCCUAUGAAACAACUGAAGAUGCUGCAUACAAAUUAUGGAGAGGUUAAACAAGGCAAAAAAUUGCAAAACAAUGAAAAAGAAUAUGCCUUUAUUUGCAUACUGACACAUGAAAAUUCACUUUCCACUUCAACAUCAGUAUAAAAAAUUCAGCAUGUAGCAGGGACACAUAGUAUAUUAAGAGGAGUGAAUUUGAGCUGUUUUGAGAAUAACAAUAUUUUCUAUUUCUAUAAAGACAGCUUUGAACUUAUCCAUUAGUAUAUGCUGGUGCUUUCCUGUUGACAUUAGUCACAGAAUUUAAAGGCCCAAUGUUAUUGCACAGUUAGUAAUCAAGUAUUUAUUGAAGUUAAAGUCUGGAUAUUAAAGGAAUCAGAACCAGUGUUAUUAAGCCUGCAAUUUUUUUGGUCUAACAUCUAACAUGAUGUAUUUUCUGUUCAUCAUUUUGUCAAUUCUGUUAGUGUUUGCAUUUGUUCUUGGAAAUUUUGCCAGUGGCUUCAUAGCUCUAGUAAAUGUCAUUGACUGGGUUAAGACACGAAAGAUUUCCUUAGUUGACCAAAUUCUCACUGCUCUCGUGAUCUACAGAAUUGGUUUACUCUGGGCCAUAUUAUUAUAUUGGUAUGCAACUAUGUUUAAUUCGGCUUUAUGUAGUUCAGAAGUAAGAAUUUUUGCUUCUAAUAUCUCGGCAAUAAUCAACCAUUUCAGCAUCUGGCUUGCUGCUAGCCUCAGCAUAUUUUAUUUGCUCAAGAUUGCCAAUUUCUCCAACCUUAUUUUUCUCCACCUACAGAAGAGAAUUAAGAGUGUUGUUCGGGUGAUGCUGUUGGGGCCCUUGGUAUUUUUGAUUUGUAAUCUUGCUGUGGUAACCACGGAUGAGGGUGUGUGGACAAAAGAAUAUGAAGGAAAUGUGACUUGGAAGAUCAAAUUGAAGAAUGCAAUACACCUUUCAAACUUGACUAUAAGCACGCUAGCAAACCUCAUACCCUUCACUCUGACCCUAAUAUGUUUUCUGCUGUUAAUCUAUUCUCUGUGUAAACAUCUCAAGAAGAUACAGCUCCAUGGCAAAGGAUCUCAAGAUCUCAGCACCAAGGUCCACAUAAAAUCUCUGCAAACUGUGAUCUCCUUCCUCAUGUUGUUUGCCAUUUACUCUCUGUGUCUAAUCAGUUUAACCUGGAGUCCUUGGAAACAGCAGAACAAACUUGUGUUUCUGCUUUGCCAAACUCUUGCAAUCAUGUAUCCUUCAUUCCACUCCUUCAUCCUGAUUAUGGGAAAUAGGAAACUAAAACAGACUUUUCUUUCAGUUUUGUGGCAGGUGACAUGCUGAGUGAAAGGACAGAAACCCUCAACUCCAUAGAUUCACAAGGGGAGCAUCAUGUGUCUUCUAGCAGUAAACAAACUGACGACAGUGGAUACUCCUCUGCUGAAGAGGGAAUAGUUCUGCACUAAUUCCCUAGGUCAGGAAGAAAGUGAGAAUCCUGCCAGCUGCCAUGUGUGUCCAUUUCAAUUACACCUUCAGGAAGAGAAAUACAUUACAAAAGUGGCCAAGUGGGUAUGGUUUUCGUAUGCCCUCCUGUUGGAUGAAAGUCCUCAGGCAAUUCCUGGAGUGGAGCAGAGCCUGGAAUUUCCAGGUCCACGUCCUGGAGGUAAAAGUUCUGUGGUGGGUGUGCUUUGGUCUGCAAAUUGACUGUCAAUUCUCAGGGGAGAUCUGUCUUGGAGCACAUAGUUAGAGAAAUGUGCCCUGCAGGGAAUGUCCAGUGAGUGGGGGUGAAAGGUUACAUUUGCAUUUAUGAAGGGCUAAGCAGGACACACAGAACAAAGGGAAGGAGGAAAGAAGAGAAGAUAAAAUAAUAAUAAAAAAUAGUAACUCAUACUCUUUUUCUUAGAAAAAAAUGGGGCAAUCUGUUACAAACCCAGUCUUUACUGAGUAAAAUCAUUACUCAAGGCUGUAUUGAGUAAUGAUCAUGCCACUGUACUACAUACAGCCUGGGUGACGGAUUGAGACUGAGUCUCUGAAAAAACCCAGAUGCAAAUAACACAAAAAACAAAAGAAAAUUAAAAAGAAAAUCUCCCACUCUAUUUCAUGGACCACAGUGUCUUUUGGGUACCCAGACAUUAGUGUUAGUUCAGGCUCUGCUGGGGGGGCCAAUAUCUGGUUUACUGGUGGCAAUUUCAUAUGAGUCUGCAGCAACCUCAAGUCUUGCCUCCUCAGAAGAAGGAAUUCAACUGAGGGGCGUAAGUCAGAAGAGACUGAAGGAAGUUUCUGAGGAGGAAUGGAAGUUUAUUAAAAAGAGAGCAGGAAAGAAAGGAAAUCACACUUGGAGGAUACCACAGCGGGCACUUUCGAGGUCAAGUGCAGUGUUAGGCCUUUCGACUUGGGGUUUUAUAUGUUGGUAUACCUCUGGGGUCUUGUGUUCCUUUUCCCACGAUUCUUCCCUUAGGGUCUUUUGUUCCUUUUUCCAUGAGUCAACCUCUUAGGGUGGGCUGCUCACAUGCGUGGUGGCCUGCUAACACUGGAGAGGUGAGCAUGCACAGUGUGUUUACCGGAGUUGUACACAUGGUUGCCUGAGGCAUUCUUCCUGUUUUUGGUGGAAUGCCCACAGAAGGUCAUAUUCCACCAUUUCUCUCUCAACACGCAUGCCUCAGCCUACUCGCCCUGUUCCUGAGCUGCUGACUACCAAUUUUAAGCAUUUUUAUUUAUUGUGAAAUUGUCUCUCCCUGGUGCCUGUGACCAAUUAUUAUUUUUAGAGAGGCAGUGUGACAACAGCCAGGCCAUCACCUGAUGGUCGCCUGACAUUCCUGGUGGGUGGUGAGAACCGUCUUCUGCCCCGCUCAUGCCUGACUAUCUACCUACUGUAAGAGCCCUAUACCUAAAAGUCUCAGAUGGUGUGGGUGUGCGUCCUUUCCCUGGGUACUGUUAUCUGGGAAAUGGCUACAGGUCUUUGAGGAAGCACCGUAUGAAUACACCCUGAAUAUCCCUGUAGUGAAUUUUCAGCAUCCUUUAUUUAGGGGACUUAAGCUUCCCUUCAAUUAUUGAAUUCUUGUUCUCGGAAUUGGCUGUGUCCUGACAACUGGUUGAGGUUCUUUGAUUUUCCACUUCAAAGGCUGACCUUAGGUAUGAGCUUUUCAGCUCCGUUUUGCUCUUGGUUUAUAAGUAUUUAUCAAUUAUGAAACUUCAUCAACUACUGGCUUAUGAACUCAUUCCAAUGAAGCUGGGUUUAAAAUAAUCCUUGUUUCACUAUGAUCACGAUAGAAACACAAUUUAUGAGUAACCUUUUAUUUCUAAAGAGAGUAUUUUAGGACCAAAUUUUCAAACAGAGGUAAUAUCUCAGAUCUUCUGUUACAUUUGAGUGAGUGAUGAUGGAGUUUGGAGGUUAUAUUUCUAUAAUGAAAACUGUAUUUAUGGGUGGGGAAUAAAUGGUGGAAUUCCUUAGAAGCACCAGUUCAGUUUUGUUUCCAUGGAACUUAAAGUCCUUCAAUCUUUGAUACACUUGUAAGUACUGUUUUAAUUUUUGAUAUUUUAAAGAUUAUUUUAAACGAAGAAGUCUUGAUUUCUGCUAAUAGAAAUAGAGUAAAAUUUAAAUCACAGAAUAGAAUGGUGGAGCUGUGGUUGAGAUACUAUAUUUUAUUAAUUGUAAUGGCAUUUUCAGAUCAAGUACUGCUCAUUAAAUUUCCCUGGGAGGAGAGUUUGUGGUGAUGACCCAGCAACAGACAAGCUACUAUCCAAAAAAAAAAAAAAAAAAAACCAAAAAAACAAAAAAACAAAAAA
Macaca mulatta (Rhesus monkey) is the source of this 7473-nucleotide non-coding RNA. Lineage: Eukaryota; Metazoa; Chordata; Mammalia; Primates; Cercopithecidae. The record is from RefSeq and is a predicted model, not a curated record.